This 253-nucleotide ribosomal RNA is filed under the name uncultured bacterium. RNAcentral describes it as "partial 16S ribosomal RNA". It matches the Rfam family "Bacterial small subunit ribosomal RNA", at positions 524 to 776 of the family's 1533-position model. The record is from RNAcentral.
UACGAAGGGGGCUAGCGUUGUUCGGAAUUACUGGGCGUAAAGGGCGCGUAGGCGGUGUGUCAAGUCAGGCGUGAAAGCCCCGGGCUCAGCCUGGGAACCGCGCUUGAGACUGGCACGCUCGAGUUCGGGAGAGGAUGGUGGAAUUCCCAGUGUAGAGGUGAAAUUCGUAGAUAUUGGGAAGAACACCGAUGGCGAAGGCAGCCAUCUGGACCGACACUGACGCUGAGGCGCGAAAGCGUGGGGAGCAAACAGG